AGUAAUGCUUGGGAAUCUGGCUUAUGGAGGGGGAUAACGACGGGAAACUGUCGCUAAUACCACGUAUUAUCGGAAGAUGAAAGUGCGGGACUGAGAGGCCGCAUGCCAUAGGAUGAGCCCAAGUGGGAUUAGGUAGUUGGUGGGGUAAAGGCCUACCAAGCCUGCGAUCUCUAGCUGGUCUGAGAGGAUGACCAGCCACACUGGAACUGAGACACGGUCCAG
This 222-nucleotide ribosomal RNA is filed under the name uncultured bacterium. Its description in RNAcentral is "partial 16S ribosomal RNA". It matches the Rfam family "Bacterial small subunit ribosomal RNA", at positions 109 to 334 of the family's 1533-position model. The record is from RNAcentral.